RNAcentral lists this unclassified non-coding RNA (378 nucleotides) under Hevea brasiliensis (rubber tree). Lineage: Eukaryota; Viridiplantae; Streptophyta; Magnoliopsida; Malpighiales; Euphorbiaceae. The record is from RNAcentral.
UUACUAUACUCGCUAAUUAUCUACCAAAUGCUCCAUCCAACAAAAGGGUCUUCAAAUUUCAUUUGUAAAACUUACUUGACAAGUUUCAAGGCAACCAAACAGAUCCCAGAAGACUUUCCCACUCAAAAGAAAAAAAAUCAGAAUCCUCAAGUAAUGCACAUGCAAAAAUAACAAGCAAAAAAGAAAUGAUAAGUUAUACUGACCAGUUAAAAGAGGCGGCGAAGAGGCAAAAUGAAUGGGCUUGUAUAAAAUCAGUAAGAAACUUUAAAGAAAGUCCUGAGGGUGAGAAAGAAUAUGAAACGUUUCUUUUCUUCUGAUAGUUGUUGAGUUUAGACUAUUUCUUCCUAUGGAGGCGUUACCGAAGACAGCUUGAAUGGA